This 399-nucleotide ribosomal RNA is filed under the name uncultured bacterium. Its description in RNAcentral is "bacterial SSU rRNA". It matches the Rfam family "Bacterial small subunit ribosomal RNA", at positions 64 to 507 of the family's 1533-position model. The record is from RNAcentral.
GAACGCCUGUAGCAAUACAGGAGUGGCAGACGGGUGAGUAACACGUGGGAACGUGCCCUUCGGUUCGGAAUAACCCAGGGAAACUUGGGCUAAUACCGGAUACGUCCGCAAGGAGAAAGAUUUAUCGCCGAGGGAUCGGCCCGCGUCCGAUUAGCUAGUUGGUGGGGUAAUGGCCUACCAAGGCGUCGAUCGGUAGCUGGUCUGAGAGGACGAUCAGCCACACUGGGAUUGAGAACGGCCCAGACUCCUACGGGGGGCAGCAGUGAGGAAUUUUCCGCAAUGGGCGCAAGCCUGACGGAGCAACGCCGCGUGCAGGAGGACGCUUUUCGGAGUGUAAACUGCUUUUCUGUGGGACGAGGAUGGACGGUACCACAGGAAGAAGCCCCGGCUAACUACGUG